CAAUAGCGUAUAUUAAAGCUGUUGCGGUUAAAAAGCUCGUAGUUGGACUUCUGCUGAGGACGACUGGUCUGCCCUCUGGGUGAGUAUCUGGUUCGGCCGAAGCAUCUUCUUGGAGGUUGCAAGCGCACUUCAUUGUGUGGUGCAACCGACUGGAAUUUUACUUUGAGGAAAUUAGAGUGUUCAAGGGAGGCGUACGCCUCGCAUAGGUUAGCAUGGAAUAAUGCUGUAAGACCAUGGUAUUGCUGUGUUGGUUUCUAUCACCUAAGGUAAUGAUAAACAGGGAUAGUUGGGGGCGAUUCGUAUUUAACUUGUCAGAGGUGGAAAUUACUUGGUAUUUGUUUAAAGUAACGGACUACUUGCGAAAGACAUUUGUCCAAGGAAUGUUUUCUAUUGUAUCAAGAACGAAAGUUAAGGGUAGUCGAAGACGAUCAGAUACCAU
Molecule: ribosomal RNA, 439 nt
Filed under: uncultured eukaryote
Lineage: Eukaryota
Description: bacterial SSU rRNA
Rfam family: Eukaryotic small subunit ribosomal RNA
Source: RNAcentral